GAUCGGAGGUCUAUAGUUGUCGAUUGCUGUUAAAGGAUCCACGUCUGCUUCGUUGUUUCCAAUAGGGAAAGAUGAACUGCAAUCUUGAAUCACAAGCGCUGGUGGGAGCGGAAACAAUUGCCAAACACAUUCUGGGAACUCUGCUUGGUAGCUCGGCGUGUGCAUGAAAUUAUGCUGGCGCUGAGCUUGAAUAUUGGGUCUCGUUACUCUAUUACUUUCUGGUGUAGACCAAUGUUGACAUUAUUGUUUUUAACUCUUCCCACUCUAAUUUAUGCUUCUUUUAUGCUUCUUUUCCUUUGACUAUAGGUAUGAAGGCCCAGGAUGAUAAUCAGAGUAAUACCGAAGAGCGGGUUAUGCAGGGUUAUGCUGUUGGCCAUUAAAUGGGUUUUUAUGUGCCUUUUAUGUAUAUGCAACGCUUCAAGAGAUAUAACCAAAGUCUUUCUUUUUCCUCAGCUGUAAAUUGUACAAGAGGCGACCUAGGAGACAGGGCUGCCGGUUCCAAGUUGGUGAAACGUUGUUGUCGGUUAUCAUCGAGUCGUUUCAUAGCUGAACAAGAAGCCAGAUCCUGCUGAUUGACGAUUGCCACUCAAAUCUAUUUGCAACUUGAUGCCAUCUCCUGCUCAAUUUUACGUACGUAACACUCUGACUACGGUCACCGCUUUAACUAUUAUAAGAGGUAGCCGGCAAUGUUAUCGUCACCACACAUUAAUCAUAAACCUUCUUAAGAAGUCUGUGGACAGCCUUCGUCUUAGAAGGGGAGGAGUUAACACAUUCAACCAGCAGCAAAGAGAGGCCAAUGCAAGCCCUGAAGCGAUCACGAUAAGAGUCGAGCUUCUGGCUUGGGAUCAAAGGCGAGCUUAAGAAAGAAGGGCAGAGCGAAUUUGAUCAUCGAACGCGUCGGUCGUCGCCACACAGACAUUGAUUAUUAUUCAAUAAAUUUACAAGCUCAAAUAUAAUCUAAAUAUAAUUCGUAGGCCAUAGCCACGACAUCCAUAAAAACACA
Molecule: long non-coding RNA, 1003 nt
Organism: Drosophila mauritiana
Lineage: Eukaryota; Metazoa; Arthropoda; Insecta; Diptera; Drosophilidae
Exons: 3
Source: RefSeq, a predicted model, not a curated record